GUGCCAGCAGCCGCGGUAAUACGUAGGGGGCAAGCGUUGUCCGGAAUCACUGGGCGUAAAGCGCGCGCAGGCGGCGAUCUGCGUCUGGGGUGAAAGCCCGGAGCUCAACUCCGGGAUUGCCUUGGAUACGGGGUCGCUUGAGGAUCGGAGAGGCAAGGGGAAUUCCACGUGUAGCGGUGAAAUGCGUAGAGAUGUGGAGGAACACCUGUGGCGAAGGCGCCUUGCUGGCCGAUUUCUGACGCUGAGGCGCGAAAGCGUGGGGAGCAAACAGGAUUAGAUACCCUGGUAGUCC
RNAcentral lists this ribosomal RNA (292 nucleotides) under uncultured bacterium. Its description in RNAcentral is "partial 16S ribosomal RNA". It matches the Rfam family "Bacterial small subunit ribosomal RNA", at positions 505 to 796 of the family's 1533-position model. The record is from RNAcentral.